This 423-nucleotide ribosomal RNA is filed under the name uncultured bacterium. RNAcentral's name for it is "bacterial SSU rRNA". It matches the Rfam family "Bacterial small subunit ribosomal RNA", at positions 355 to 776 of the family's 1533-position model. The record is from RNAcentral.
UGAGGAAUAUUGGUCAAUGGCCGAGAGGCUGAACCAGCCAAGUCGCGUGAGGGAUGACGGCCCUAUGGGUUGUAAACCUCUUUUGUCGGGGAGCAAAGAGCCGGACGUGUCCGGCCUCGAGAGUACCCGAAGAAAAAGCAUCGGCUAACUCCGUGCCAGCAGCCGCGGUAAUACGGAGGAUGCGAGCGUUAUCCGGAUUUAUUGGGUUUAAAGGGUGCGCAGGCGGGCUGUCAAGUCAGCGGUAAAAUUGAGAGGCUCAACCUCUUCCGGCCGUUGAAACUGAUGGUCUUGAGUGAGCGAGAAGUAUGCGGAAUGCGUGGUGUAGCGGUGAAAUGCAUAGAUAUCACGCAGAACUCCGAUUGCGAAGGCAGCAUACCGGCGCUCAACUGACGCUCAUGCACGAAAGCGUGGGUAUCGAACAGG